UGAUGUGAAAGAAGAAUAUCCUGAGCUAUCAUAAAAGGCAUUCAAUGUUCUGCUACCAUUGUGGUUGUGCCACCAUGGUGGAAAGGGCCUUUUCUACGUACUCAUUCAUAAAAAAUAAGUAUCGUAAUAAACUGUCUGUAAGUUCAGACUUACGGGUUAUUUGUCAUGUGUGGAGCCAGAUUUCAAAAAAUUAAGUUCAAGCAAACAUGCUCAAAGUUCG
This is a non-coding RNA of Cinara cedri, 220 nucleotides long. NCBI's taxonomy places the organism in Eukaryota, Metazoa, Arthropoda, Insecta, Hemiptera, Aphididae. The record is from the annotation of a GenBank genome assembly.